AAAGACUGACGCUCAGGCACGAAAGCGUGGGGAUCAAACAGGAUUAGAUACCCUGGUAGUCCACGCUGUAAACGAUGAUCACUCGUUGUUAGCGAUAUACUGUUAGCGACUGAGCGAAAGCAUUAAGUGAUCCACCUGGGGGGUACGGCGGCAACGUUGAAACUCAAAGGAAUUGACGGGGGCCCGCACAAGCGGAGGAGCAUGUGGUUUAAUUCGAUGAUACGCGAGGAACCUUACCUGGGCUUAAAUGUAGGACGACGUUUCGUGAAAGCGGAAUUUCCUUCGGGACGUCUUACAAGGUGCUGCAUGGUUGUCGUCAGCUCGUGCCGUGAGGUGUCGGGUUAAGUCCCAUAACGAGCGCAACCCCUAUCAUUAGUUGCCAUCAGGUCAAGCUGGGAACUCUAAUGAAACUGCCUACGCAAGUAGUGAGGAAGGUGGGGAUGACGUCAAAUCAGCACGGCCCUUAUGUCCAGGGCGACACACGUGCUACAAUGGCCAGUACAGAGGGUUGCAAA
RNAcentral lists this ribosomal RNA (515 nucleotides) under uncultured bacterium. Its description in RNAcentral is "bacterial SSU rRNA". It matches the Rfam family "Bacterial small subunit ribosomal RNA", at positions 735 to 1253 of the family's 1533-position model. The record is from RNAcentral.